Cyprinus carpio carpio is the source of this 358-nucleotide long non-coding RNA. The record is from Ensembl. Lineage: Eukaryota; Metazoa; Chordata; Actinopteri; Cypriniformes; Cyprinidae.
CUCCAUUUGAGUGCGCAGGACGGAUAUUAGCAGAUCGAUUAUUGAUAGAGACAAAUGGAGGAUUAAAAAGAGAAAAAUAUCGUAGGAACAAAACAUUAAAAAGAAGGGUUACAAUCUGGAAAGAGGUAGGACCUGGGUAAAUAUCAGAGCAGCUUUCCAGCGUUGGAGAGAAACUCAAGGAGCAGGAAGGGCUCGAAUCGGACGUCGAGGUUGCGUUGUUUCUUUUUGAUAGGGAAUGCACCGAUCCCUGAUCUGCCAAAGUGCGUUUAUGUUCGCACCAAUCAUUCAUGAUCCAGCUUCAUCUACAGAAGAUACUGAUGGGUGGAGUCUUGCGAUGGCCACGCCUCUCUUCAAAAAC